GGACCAGACUCCUACGGGAGGCAGCAGUAGGGAAUUUUCGUCAAUGGGGGAAACCCUGAACGAGCAAUGCCGCGUGAGUGAAGAAGGCCUUCGGGUCGUAAAGCUCUGUUGUAAGAGAAAAACGGUAAUGAUAGGAAAUGAUCAUUAAGUGAUGGUAUCUUACGAGGAAGCCACGGCUAACUAUGUGCCAGCAGCCGCGGUAAUACGUAGGUGGCAAGCGUUAUCCGGAUUUAUUGGGUUUAAAGGGUGCGUAGGCGGACGCUUAAGUCGGCGGUAAAAUUGCGGGGCUCAACCUCGUCGAGCCGUUGAAACUGGGUGCCUUGAGUGGGCGAGAAGUACGCGGAAUGCGUGGUGUAGCGGUGAAAUGCAUAGAUAUCACGCAGAACUCCGAUUGCGAAGGCAGCGUACCGGCGCCCAACUGACGCUGAAGCACGAAGGCGUGGGUAUCGAACAGGAUUAGAUACCCGCGUA
Molecule: ribosomal RNA, 471 nt
Filed under: uncultured bacterium
Lineage: Bacteria
Description: partial 16S ribosomal RNA
Rfam family: Bacterial small subunit ribosomal RNA
Source: RNAcentral